RNAcentral lists this ribosomal RNA (1436 nucleotides) under uncultured organism. RNAcentral describes it as "16S ribosomal RNA". It matches the Rfam family "Bacterial small subunit ribosomal RNA". The record is from RNAcentral.
GCUUAACACAUGCAAGUCGAGGGGCAGCAUGGUCUUAGCUUGCUAAGGCCGAUGGCGACCGGCGCACGGGUGAGUAACGCGUAUCCAACCUGCCUUACACUCUUGGACAGCCUUCUGAAAGGGAGAUUAAUACAAGAUGUUAUCAUGAGUAAGCAUUUUCGCAUGAUUAAAGGUUUACCGGUGUAAGAUGGGGAUGCGUUCCAUUAGAUAGUAGGCGGGGUAACGGCCCACCUAGUCUUCGAUGGAUAGGGGUUCUGAGAGGAAGGUCCCCCACAUUGGAACUGAGACACGGUCCAAACUCCUACGGGAGGCAGCAGUGAGGAAUAUUGGUCAAUGGACGAGAGUCUGAACCAGCCAAGUAGCGUGAAGGAUGAAGGUUCUAUGGAUUGUAAACUUCUUUUAUACGGGAAUAAACGGAUCCACGUGUGGAUUUUUGCAUGUACCGUAUGAAUAAGGAUCGGCUAACUCCGUGCCAGCAGCCGCGGUAAUACGGAGGAUCCGAGCGUUAUCCGGAUUUAUUGGGUUUAAAGGGAGCGUAGAUGGGUUGUUAAGUCAGUUGUGAAAGUUUGCGGCUCAACCGUAAAAUUGCAAUUGAUACUGGCAGUCUUGAGUACAGUUGAGGUAGGCGGAAUUCGUGGUGUAGCGGUGAAAUGCUUAGAUAUCACGAAGAACUCCGAUUGCGAAGGCAGCUUACUAACCUGUAACUGACAUUGAUGCUCGAAAGUGUGGGUAUCAAACAGGAUUAGAUACCCUGGUAGUCCACACGGUAAACGAUGAAUACUCGCUGUAGGCGAUAUACAGUUUGCGGCCAAGCGAAAGCAUUAAGUAUUCCACCUGGGGAGUACGCCGGCAACGGUGAAACUCAAAGGAAUUGACGGGGGCCCGCACAAGCGGAGGAACAUGUGGUUUAAUUCGAUGAUACGCGAGGAACCUUACCCGGGCUUAAAUUGCAACCGAAUAUGGCGGAAACGCUAUAGCUAGCAAUAGCGGUUGUGAAGGUGCUGCAUGGUUGUCGUCAGCUCGUGCCGUGAGGUGUCGGCUUAAGUGCCAUAACGAGCGCAACCCUUGCCGAUAGUUACUAACAGGUCAUGCUGAGGACUCUGUCGGGACUGCCAUCGUAAGAUGUGAGGAAGGUGGGGAUGACGUCAAAUCAGCACGGCCCUUACGUCCGGGGCUACACACGUGUUACAAUGGGGGGUACAGAGGGCUGCUACCACGCAAGUGGAUGCCAAUCCCAAAAACCUCUCUCAGUUCGGAUUGAAGUCUGCAACCCGACUUCAUGAAGCUGGAUUCGCUAGUAAUCGCGCAUCAGCCACGGCGCGGUGAAUACGUUCCCGGGCCUUGUACACACCGCCCGUCAAGCCAUGGGAGCCGGGGGUACCUGAAGUGCGUAACCGCAAGGAGCGCCCUAGGGUAAAACUGGUGACUGGGGCUAA